This 497-nucleotide ribosomal RNA is filed under the name uncultured bacterium. Its description in RNAcentral is "partial 16S ribosomal RNA". It matches the Rfam family "Bacterial small subunit ribosomal RNA", at positions 28 to 507 of the family's 1533-position model. The record is from RNAcentral.
GAUGAACGCUGGCGGCGUGCCUAAUACAUGCAAGUCGAGCGAACAGACGAGGAGCUUGCUCCUCUGACGUUAGCGGCGGACGGGUGAGUAACACGUGGAUAACCUACCUAUAAGACUGGGAUAACUUCGGGAAACCGGAGCUAAUACCGGAUAAUAUAUUGAACCGCAUGGUUCAAUAGUGAAAGACGGUUUUGCUGUCACUUAUAGAUGGAUCCGCGCCGCAUUAGCUAGUUGGUAAGGUAACGGCUUACCAAGGCGACGAUGCGUAGCCGACCUGAGAGGGUGAUCGGCCACACUGGAACUGGGACACGGUCCAGACUCCUACGGGAGGCAGCAGUAGGGAAUCUUCCGCAAUGGGCGAAAGCCUGACGGAGCCACGCCGCGUGAGUGAUGAAGGUCUUCGGAUCGUAAAGCUCUGUUAUUAGGGAAGAACAAAUGUGUAAGUAACUAUGCACGUCUUGACGGUACCUAAUCAGAAAGCCACGGCUAACUACGUG